Molecule: small RNA, 1410 nt
Filed under: Fusarium oxysporum
Lineage: Eukaryota; Fungi; Ascomycota; Sordariomycetes; Hypocreales; Nectriaceae
Description: eukaryotic LSU rRNA
Rfam family: Eukaryotic large subunit ribosomal RNA (bases 501-1410)
Source: RNAcentral
CGUAACAAGGUCUCCGUUGGUGAACCAGCGGAGGGAUCAUUACCGAGUUUACAACUCCCAAACCCCUGUGAACAUACCACUUGUUGCCUCGGCGGAUCAGCCCGCUCCCGGUAAAACGGGACGGCCCGCCAGAGGACCCCUAAACUCUGUUUCUAUAUGUAACUUCUGAGUAAAACCAUAAAUAAAUCAAAACUUUCAACAACGGAUCUCUUGGUUCUGGCAUCGAUGAAGAACGCAGCAAAAUGCGAUAAGUAAUGUGAAUUGCAGAAUUCAGUGAAUCAUCGAAUCUUUGAACGCACAUUGCGCCCGCCAGUAUUCUGGCGGGCAUGCCUGUUCGAGCGUCAUUUCAACCCUCAAGCACAGCUUGGUGUUGGGACUCGCGUUAAUUCGCGUUCCUCAAAUUGAUUGGCGGUCACGUCGAGCUUCCAUAGCGUAGUAGUAAAACCCUCGUUACUGGUAAUCGUCGCGGCCACGCCGUUAAACCCCCAACUUCUGAAUGUUGACCUCGGAUCAGGUAGGAAUACCCGCUGAACUUAAGCAUAUCAAUAAGCGGAGGAAAAGAAACCAACAGGGAUUGCCCUAGUAACGGCGAGUGAAGCGGCAACAGCUCAAAUUUGAAAUCUGGCUCUCGGGCCCGAGUUGUAAUUUGUAGAGGAUACUUUUGAUGCGGUGCCUUCCGAGUUCCCUGGAACGGGACGCCAUAGAGGGUGAGAGCCCCGUCUGGUUGGAUGCCAAAUCUCUGUAAAGUUCCUUCAACGAGUCGAGUAGUUUGGGAAUGCUGCUCUAAAUGGGAGGUAUAUGUCUUCUAAAGCUAAAUACCGGCCAGAGACCGAUAGCGCACAAGUAGAGUGAUCGAAAGAUGAAAAGCACUUUGAAAAGAGAGUUAAAAAGUACGUGAAAUUGUUGAAAGGGAAGCGUUUAUGACCAGACUUGGGCUUGGUUAAUCAUCUGGGGUUCUCCCCAGUGCACUUUUCCAGUCCAGGCCAGCAUCAGUUUUCCCCGGGGGAUAAAGGCGGCGGGAAUGUGGCUCUCUUCGGGGAGUGUUAUAGCCCACCGUGUAAUACCCUGGGGGGGACUGAGGUUCGCGCAUCUGCAAGGAUGCUGGCGUAAUGGUCAUCAACGACCCGUCUUGAAACACGGACCAAGGAGUCGUCUUCGUAUGCGAGUGUUCGGGUGUCAAACCCCUACGCGUAAUGAAAGUGAACGCAGGUGAGAGCUUCGGCGCAUCAUCGACCGAUCCUGAUGUUCUCGGAUGGAUUUGAGUAAGAGCAUACGGGGCCGGACCCGAAAGAAGGUGAACUAUGCCUGUAUAGGGUGAAGCCAGAGGAAACUCUGGUGGAGGCUCGCAGCGGUUCUGACGUGCAAAUCGAUCGUCAAAUAUGGGCAUGGGGGCGAAAGACUAAUCGAACU